Molecule: ribosomal RNA, 635 nt
Filed under: uncultured organism
Description: bacterial SSU rRNA
Rfam family: Bacterial small subunit ribosomal RNA
Source: RNAcentral
GAUGGGCCCGCGGGCCUAUCAGCUAGUUGGUGAGGUAAUGGCUCACCAAGGCUAAGACGGGUAGCUGGUCUGAGAGGAUGGUCAGCCACACUGGAACUGAGACACUGUCCAGACACCUACGGGUGGCUGCAGUCGAGAAUCUUUCGCAAUGGGGGAAACCCUGACGACGCGACGCCGCGUGAGCGAUGAAGGCCUUCGGGUCGUAAAGCUCUGUUUGCUGGGAAGAAAUAUUUUGGUCGAAUAGCCCAAAAGGAUGACGGUACCAGCAGAGGAAGUCACGGCUAACUCCGUGCCAGCAGCCGCGGUAAUACGGAGGUGGCAAGCGUUGUUCGGAUUUAUUGGGUGUAAAGGGUAUGUAGGUUGUUAUUUAAGUCGAGAGUGAAAUCCUUUGGCUCAACCAAAGAACUGCUCUCGAAACUAUCUAACUUGAGUUCAGGAGAGGAAAGCGGAAUUCCAGGUGUAAGAGUGAAAUCUGUAGAGAUCUGGAGGAACACCAGUGGCGAAGGCGGCUUUCUGGACUGACACUGACACUGAAAUACGAAAGCUAGGGGAGCAAACAGGAUUAGAUACCCUGGUAGUCCUAGCCGUAAACGAUGGGCACUAGGUGUCGGAGCGCAAGCUUCGGUGCCGCAGCU